This 73-nucleotide transfer RNA is filed under the name Camelus bactrianus (Bactrian camel). It matches the Rfam family "tRNA". From Rfam's summary of the family: Transfer RNA (tRNA) molecules are approximately 80 nucleotides in length. Their secondary structure includes four short double-helical elements and three loops (D, anti-codon, and T loops). Lineage: Eukaryota; Metazoa; Chordata; Mammalia; Artiodactyla; Camelidae. The record is from Rfam by way of RNAcentral. RNAcentral also lists the same sequence under 2 other names.
AGGGUAAUAGCUCAAGUGGUAGAGUGCAUGUUUGGUAUGCACAAGGUCCUGGGUUCAAUCCCCAGUACCUCCU